RNAcentral lists this transfer RNA (77 nucleotides) under Candidatus Enterenecus faecium. RNAcentral describes it as "tRNA-Pro". It matches the Rfam family "tRNA". Rfam says of the family: Transfer RNA (tRNA) molecules are approximately 80 nucleotides in length. Their secondary structure includes four short double-helical elements and three loops (D, anti-codon, and T loops). Lineage: Bacteria; Bacillati; Bacillota; Clostridia; Eubacteriales. The record is from RNAcentral.
CCGGGUGUGGCGAAGCUUGGUAUCGCGCUUGGUUCGGGUCCAAGAGGCCGUGGGUUCAAAUCCUGUCACUCGGACCA